UCUAAUACAUAUAUUGUUUCCUCUCACAUUGAACUUGUUACAUCACAGAUAGAUCAUCCCUUCACAAUCGUAUUCGUCCUUGGAGCAAAGAAGAACAGUGAGGGCUCUGCGUUUGUUGGUGGAAUAGAGAGGAAAAAAGAAAAUGUAACCCCAGAUUUAGCGACAUAUGAAGGAUUGAUUGCUGAUGUCGAAGGUUUCAGAUUUCGUUUGGAAAGAAUGUGGUAUAAGGCACUUAGUUGAAUACGGCGUGCUGUUCAUAGAGAUCAACAGUGAUGAGCAAGUGAAAGGAAUGGUGCUACAAGCAUUGG
Rhodamnia argentea is the source of this 308-nucleotide long non-coding RNA. RefSeq lists it as uncharacterized. Lineage: Eukaryota; Viridiplantae; Streptophyta; Magnoliopsida; Myrtales; Myrtaceae. The record is from RefSeq and is a predicted model, not a curated record. The transcript is spliced from 4 exons.